UGAGCCACAUGUACUCACUCAUAAACCUUGCC
RNAcentral lists this non-coding RNA (32 nucleotides) under Rattus norvegicus (Norway rat). The record is from RNAcentral. Lineage: Eukaryota; Metazoa; Chordata; Mammalia; Rodentia; Muridae.